RNAcentral lists this ribosomal RNA (485 nucleotides) under uncultured bacterium. Its description in RNAcentral is "bacterial SSU rRNA". It matches the Rfam family "Bacterial small subunit ribosomal RNA", at positions 903 to 1397 of the family's 1533-position model. The record is from RNAcentral.
AAAGGAAUUGACGGGGACUCACACAAGCGGUGGAUCACGUGGCUUAAUUCGACAGUAAGCGUGGAACCUUACCAAGGUUUGAAACUCUAAUGAAAUCCUUCUGAAAGGAAGGCCCUCCGCAAGGACAUUAGAGCAGGUGCUGCAUGGUUGUCGUCAGCAGGUGGCUUGAGUUGCUCCCUUAAAUGGGGUAACCUGCGCAACCCUUGCCCUAUGUUUUACAUGUCAUGGGGGACUGCCUAGGACAACUAGGAGGAAGAUGAGGAUGACGCCAAAUCAGCAUGGCCCUUUGAUACCUUGGGCUGCACACGUGAUACAAUGGAGACGACAAAGGGGUGCGAAAAGGUAACUUGAAGCAAAUCCCAACAAACGUUUCCUCAGUUCAGAUUGAGGUCUGCAACCCGACCUCAUGAAGCCGGAAUCGCUAGUAACCGUGGAUCAGCCAUGUCACGGUGAAUGUGUCCCUGGGUCUUGUACACACCGCCCGU